This 273-nucleotide ribosomal RNA is filed under the name uncultured bacterium. RNAcentral describes it as "partial 16S ribosomal RNA". It matches the Rfam family "Bacterial small subunit ribosomal RNA", at positions 524 to 789 of the family's 1533-position model. The record is from RNAcentral.
UACGUAGGGUGCGAGCGUUAAUCGGAAUUACUGGGCGUAAAGCGUGCGCAGGCGGCGCGUUAAGACAGGUGUGAAAAGCCCCCGAGCUUAACUUGGGAAUUUGCGCUUGUGACUGGCGUGCUGGAGUGUGGCAGAGGGGAGGUGGAAUUCCACGUGUAGCAGUGAAAAUGCGUAGAGAUCCGGAAGAACACCAGUGGCGGAAGGCGGACCCGCUGGGCAGCUGGCUGACGCUGAGGCGCGACAGCGUGGGAGCGGAACAGGAUAGAUGACCCG